RNAcentral lists this transfer RNA (89 nucleotides) under Curtobacterium sp. MCBD17_040. It matches the Rfam family "tRNA". Rfam says of the family: Transfer RNA (tRNA) molecules are approximately 80 nucleotides in length. Their secondary structure includes four short double-helical elements and three loops (D, anti-codon, and T loops). The record is from Rfam by way of RNAcentral. Lineage: Bacteria; Bacillati; Actinomycetota; Actinomycetes; Micrococcales; Microbacteriaceae.
GGGGAGGUCGCAUAGCGGUCGAUUGCGCCGCCUUGGAAAGGCGGUAGACGGUGCAAGCCGUCUCGAGGGUUCGAAUCCCUCCCUUCCCG